GGCUCAGGAUGAACGCUAGCUACAGGCUUAACACAUGCAAGUCGAGGGGCAGCAUGGUCUUAGCUUGCUAAGGCCGGUGGCGACCGGCGCACGGGUGAGUAACACGUAUCCAACCUGCCGUCUACUCUUGGACAGCCUUCUGAAAGGAAGAUUAAUACAAGAUGGCAUCAUGAGUCCGCAUGUUCACAUGAUUAAAGGUAUUCCGGUAGACGAUGGGGAUGCGUUCCAUUAGAUAGUAGGCGGGGUAACGGCCCACCUAGUCUUCGAUGGAUAGGGGUUCUGAGAGGAAGGUCCCCCACAUUGGAACUGAGACACGGUCCAAACUCCUACGGGAGGCAGCAGUGAGGAAUAUUGGUCAAUGGGCGAGAGCCUGAACCAGCCAAGUAGCGUGAAGGAUGACUGCCCUAUGGGUUGUAAACUUCUUUUAUAAAGGAAUAAAGUCGGGUAUGGAUACCCGUUUGCAUGUACUUUAUGAAUAAGGAUCGGCUAACUCCGUGCCAGCAGCCGCGGUAAUACGGAGGAUCCGAGCGUUAUCCGGAUUUAUUGGGUUUAAAGGGAGCGUAGAUGGAUGUUUAAGUCAGUUGUGAAAGUUUGCGGCUCAACCGUAAAAUUGCAGUUGAUACUGGAUAUCUUGAGUGCAGUUGAGGCAGGCGGAAUUCGUGGUGUAGCGGUGAAAUGCUUAGAUAUCACGAAGAACUCCGAUUGCGAAGGCAGCCUGCUAAGCUGCAACUGACAUUGAGGCUCGAAAGUGUGGGUAUCAAACAGGAUUAGAUACCCUGGUAGUCCACACGGUAAACGAUGAAUACUCGCUGUUUGCGAUAUACAGCAAGCGGCCAAGCGAAAGCGUUAAGUAUUCCACCUGGGGAGUACGCCGGCAACGGUGAAACUCAAAGGAAUUGACGGGGGCCCGCACAAGCGGAGGAACAUGUGGUUUAAUUCGAUGAUACGCGAGGAACCUUACCCGGGCUUAAAUUGCAGAUGAAUUACGGUGAAAGCCGUAAGCCGCAAGGCAUCUGUGAAGGUGCUGCAUGGUUGUCGUCAGCUCGUGCCGUGAGGUGUCGGCUUAAGUGCCAUAACGAGCGCAACCCUUGUUGUCAGUUACUAACAGGUUCCGCUGAGGACUCUGACAAGACUGCCAUCGUAAGAUGUGAGGAAGGUGGGGAUGACGUCAAAUCAGCACGGCCCUUACGUCCGGGGCUACACACGUGUUACAAUGGGGGGUACAGAGGGCCGCUACCACGCGAGUGGAUGCCAAUCCCCAAAACCUCUCUCAGUUCGGACUGGAGUCUGCAACCCGACUCCACGAAGCUGGAUUCGCUAGUAAUCGCGCAUCAGCCACGGCGCGGUGAAUACGUUCCCGGGCCUUGUACACACCGCC
This 1378-nucleotide ribosomal RNA is filed under the name uncultured bacterium. RNAcentral's name for it is "16S ribosomal RNA". It matches the Rfam family "Bacterial small subunit ribosomal RNA", at positions 21 to 1394 of the family's 1533-position model. The record is from RNAcentral.